GUAGGUGGCGAGCGUUGUCCGGAAUUAUUGGGCGUAAAGAGCAUGUAGGCGGUUUUUUAAGUCUGGAGUGAAAAUGCGGGGCUCAACCCCGUAUGGCUCUGGAUACUGGAAGACUUGAGUGCAGGUGAGGAAAGGGGAAUUCCCAGUGUAGCGGUGAAAUGCGUAGAUAUUGGGAGGAACACCAGUGGCGAAGGCGCCUUUCUGGACUGUGUCUGACGCUGAGAUGCGAAAGCCAGGGUAGCGAACGGGAUUAGAUACCCCGGUAGUCCUGGCCGUAAACGAUGGGUACUAGGUGUAGGAGGUAUCGACCCCUUCUGUGCCGGAGUUAACGCAAUAAGUACCCCGCCUGGGGAGU
Molecule: ribosomal RNA, 355 nt
Filed under: uncultured bacterium
Lineage: Bacteria
Description: bacterial SSU rRNA
Rfam family: Bacterial small subunit ribosomal RNA
Source: RNAcentral